GCUGGCCUGGACCCAGGCCCAGAAAGAAGACUGUUCCUUACAGUUAAAGAAGCCUUGGCCCUGCCUCUGCCCUGAGGAGUUUACCGUGUAAUUGGGAAGAUUCGCAGUCAGCUGUUAGGGACAGAGGGAACUGUGGAGGGUCUGGGGCAGGGAAGAGCUGGCCCCUACCUGGAGCCCUGAUGGAGAGUUAUCAUGUACUGAACGCCUGCUGUGCGCCAGGAACCGUCUAACCUCUUGACACGUACUGUGAGGUGGAACUCUAGAAGCCAUUUACUCCCCUCUGGUGAAGGAAGGGGAAGCAAUGGCUACCCCACGGCUUGCUGGGCUGUGGGAAGAUGUGUGAGUCCAGGUGUGAAGCCGGAUGCUUACGUGUCAGGAAGGCAGCCAGGCUAUCCCCGGAGAUCAUCGAAGGGACAACGUGAUGCUGAGGGACCCAGUCCUAAAAUGUGCACUCAGAGGCCAAUGGAUCCCAAAGCUGCAGAUGAACGGGAUGCCAAAGAGAAGUGCCGCGGUGAGGGGACCUGGCAAUUCCGGUGCUGCCGCUCUGACUCCUUAAGAGAGGACAGUGACAGCUAUCUUCCUUCACCUCCCCUCCCCCAAGGCUUGACCAAAGGCCAUGGCCCAUCCUUCAAUGG
Molecule: long non-coding RNA, 635 nt
Organism: Balaenoptera ricei (Rice's whale)
Lineage: Eukaryota; Metazoa; Chordata; Mammalia; Artiodactyla; Balaenopteridae
Exons: 3
Source: RefSeq, a predicted model, not a curated record